Molecule: ribosomal RNA, 495 nt
Filed under: uncultured Desulfobulbus sp.
Lineage: Bacteria; Pseudomonadati; Thermodesulfobacteriota; Desulfobulbia; Desulfobulbales; Desulfobulbaceae
Description: bacterial SSU rRNA
Rfam family: Bacterial small subunit ribosomal RNA
Source: RNAcentral
GCUCAGAACUCAAGGAAUUGACGGGGCCGCACAAGCGGUGGAGUAUGUGGUUUAAUUCGAUGCAACGCGAAGAACCUUACCUGGUCUUGACAUCCCGGAGACCCUUAGGAAACUAGGGGGUGCCUUUCCAUCUGGAAGAAUCUGGAGACAGGUGCUGCAUGGCUGUCGUCAGCUCGUGUCGUGAGAUGUUGGGUUAAGUCCCGCAACGAGCGCAACCCUUGCCUUUAGUUGCCAGCAGUUCGGCUGGGCACUCUAAAGGGACUGCCGGUGUUAAACCGGAGGAAGGUGGGGAUGACGUCAAGUCCUCAUGGCCUUUAUGACCAGGGCUACACACGUACUACAAUGGCCGAUACAAAGGGCAGCGACACUGCGAGGUGAAGCCAAUCCCGUAAAAUCGGUCUCAGUCCGGAUUGGAGUCUGCAACUCGACUCCAUGAAGUUGGAAUCGCUAGUAAUCGUGGAUCAGCAUGCCACGGUGAAUACGUUCCCGGGCCUU